This 464-nucleotide ribosomal RNA is filed under the name uncultured Klebsiella sp. RNAcentral's name for it is "bacterial SSU rRNA". It matches the Rfam family "Bacterial small subunit ribosomal RNA", at positions 338 to 795 of the family's 1533-position model. Lineage: Bacteria; Pseudomonadati; Pseudomonadota; Gammaproteobacteria; Enterobacterales; Enterobacteriaceae. The record is from RNAcentral.
CCUACGGGAGGUGCAGUGGGGAAUAUUGCACAAUGGGCGCAAGCCUGAUGCAGCCAUGUCGCGUGUGUGCAGAAGGCCUUCGGGUUGUAAAGCACUUUCAGCGGGGAGGAAGGCGGUGAGGUUAAUAACCUCAUCGAUUGGCGUUACCCGCAGAAGAAGCACCGGCUAACUCCGUGCCAGCAGCCGCGGUAAUACGGAGGGUGCAAGCGUUAAUCGGAAUUACUGGGCGUAAAGCGCACGCAGGCGGUCUGUCAAGUCGGAUGUGAAAUCCCCGGGCUCAACCUGGGAACUGCAUUCGAAACUGGCAGGCUAGAGUCUUGUAGAGGGGGGUAGAAUUCCAGGUGUAGCGGUGAAAUGCGUAGAGAUCUGGAGGAAUACCGGUGGCGAAGGCGGCCCCCUGGACAAAGACUGACGCUCAGGUGCGAAAGCGUGGGGAGCAAACAGGAUUAGAUACCCGGGUAGUC